Non-coding RNA from Cinara cedri, 228 nucleotides. NCBI's taxonomy places the organism in Eukaryota, Metazoa, Arthropoda, Insecta, Hemiptera, Aphididae. The record is from the annotation of a GenBank genome assembly.
GAGCAGCGGCGUGCGAGAGUAUCGUGUCUCGAAUAUCCCGAACAUUUUACCCGGAUAUUUGUAUACACAUCGCGCGAUUCGGGAACGGAAAUCUCUACGUGGGCCGAAUAGAAUACAUUUUUGAGUUUUCGAGUGAACAAUCCGAUUCAAAAGACAAAAAAAUAAUCGAACAAACCCGUCGUAUUCGGAGAAUCCGGCGUUACCUAAUAAUUUACGUAAAACGAUUUU